RNAcentral lists this long non-coding RNA (412 nucleotides) under Setaria viridis. Its description in RNAcentral is "long non-coding RNA (SVIR_LNC000201)". The record is from RNAcentral. Lineage: Eukaryota; Viridiplantae; Streptophyta; Magnoliopsida; Poales; Poaceae.
CCGGGAAACUAUAAUAAUUAAGUAAAGCUAGGAAGAAUAGGAUGGAGAGCGACAUAUGCCAACCAACCAACCAUCUCCAGAACGAUUAAGCUAGCUGAACCAAUCAACGACACGCUGCAUAUGCUAACACGCCGCUACUCCCUCCAUUCCAAAUUAUAAGGUUGGAGAGUGAAAUCAUUUUAUGUUUGACCAAAAUUAUAGAGAUGAUCACAAAAAUUUAUGUCACCGAAUAGAUAUACUAUGAAAAUAUAUUUAAUGAAGAAACUGAUGGUACUUAUGUGGUCUCAUGAAUGUUAGUACGUUAGGGUAUAAAUUUGGUCAAACUUGAGAUGAUUUAACUUUCCAAAAAAGUUGGAAUGACUUGUAAUUUGGAAACGGAGGAAAACUGAAUCAAAUCCGAGUGAAGUGAUUG